Molecule: long non-coding RNA, 272 nt
Organism: Sander lucioperca (pikeperch)
Lineage: Eukaryota; Metazoa; Chordata; Actinopteri; Perciformes; Percidae
Exons: 3
Source: RefSeq, a predicted model, not a curated record
CACAACACAACCACCGUUAGUGUAACAUAGUGUGCAUCAACAGUGAAAAGUUAUCAAGACACAAUUUCAGACAAAGAGCAGAAGAAUGAUAGCCUGACGUCGUCAUACUCAGAUUCUAGUCAGAACAUGAGUCUGAUAUUGCUCCACUGGGCUGUGAUUAUGGGGCGUGUUUCAACCGAACCAGGAAAGAAAAUGCCUCUGCACUCAAUUGCAUAGACCUACAACCAAUCGGAGCAACGGAGUAUGUGACGCAUGAUGGUAAAAACAUAUUU